AGUUUUGUUUCUCUAAUAAUAGUAUCUAGCAGAGCAGACACAUCACUAACUCUCAUGAUUCUUUUCUUUAUUUUAUUUUACACAUUCUUGAUUCUUGACACUUUCUAUAAAGGGCUCUUUUUUCGUUAAAGAGUAUUCCGAAUCUACAAUGGAGGAGAAAAAACUAGAUUUUGAUGCUCCAUUCCUAUCCGUGAGGCGGAUUCCGACUAAACCAGAGGAUCCAAGCGAAUCAGAAAACACCGAGACGAAGACGACGACGACGAGAAGGAGAAAAGUCAAAGAUUCGUGUCAUGAAACAGAGCAUGAAAGUCUGAUUCGGUUAUUACAAGACCGGAGUUUCGAUCAUGUAAUGGAACCAUCUUCAGUUCCAUUUACAUGGGAACAAACACCUGGAAAGCCAAAAGAUCAGCAUACAGUAAUCGAAGAAUUAGACCUAAUCAAAUCCUUGGAGAUGGUUUCUUCAGCAGCAAGUUUCUCUGCUAAUUGCAGUUCGAAUGGAGUCAGUGAGUUCGAGAAUAAUGGAGAUGGAGACAGAUCGAGUAAUGUAUCAAGAGAUGAUGACGUCAUUCUUGAGUACCGUGAUCUCAUCAUGUCGAGAUUUUUACUAGCUGCGGAAGCAAUCGCCAUGAAAGAGAAGAAAGAAGCUUCUCGCGUUAAAGAGGAGAGGAAGAAGAAACAGAACCUUGCCCUGCAGAGAGUCUCCAUGGCAAUUAAUCAAGAUAUGAACAUUGACAACGAUGAUGAUGAUGUUGAUGAUCAUAAUGCAACAGUUUACUCAAAAGAUCCCAAGAAAGCUCAGUUAGGGUUCUCGCCGUGGCUCUGUUCCAAGAACUCAAUGGAUGUUCUUAACCCGGUUCUCUCUCGGAUCAAGACAUGUCAGGAUAUUGGGGUAAAAUCGGGGAAUAUCAUAAACCCGAAACCACUAGAUUCUGUUUACAAAACCAAAUCAACAUCGCCAAGAAUCUUGAAAUCGAACAAGGUUAUGAGUGAGUCUCAAGAACUCUAUGCAACACCAAGAUUUUCUAAAGAUAUUUCCAAAAUUUCUCUACCGAAAGCUGGCGAAACACUCCGAAUUCAGGGGAAUCUUUCGAGGUUGCAAAGAACAACUGAUCAGAAUCAGAGACAUGAAAUUAGGUUUCUUGUGGAAGAAGUAAAAAGAAGGAGCAACAUAAACAAAUGCAGGGCACAAAAUAUCUCUAUUCCUCAACCUCCAUUGCCUAAAACUCCUUCGGAGUCAUGGCUUUGCCGGACAGUUCCAAGAAGCUCUGCCGCCUCCUCCGUCGUAUCCGGUCAAGCCGCCCGUUUCAGGAAGAAGAUGGAGGAAAAGACUAAUUCUCAGUCUAUAAAAUGGGAAACGAUUGUGAAAAGAUCGUAUAAACACCAUGAUCAUGUUCGCUACUCAGAGGACCUCAUUAUCGUUCAUCCCUCUCGUUAAGCCAAAUCCUAAAACCGGAAUCUUCUUUUCUAUGCUGAGAUUCGUUUUCGGUUAUUAAUGGAGAUGGAUAGGGUGAACAUAGCGGUUAGUCGGGAAGUAAUGGAAGCUAUGGAAAGAUUUUGAGAACAAGGAGUGUAUUUGAUAUCAUACAUUCUAACCAAAAAGGUGAAAUUGUAGGUUUCUAUUGAGGUUAAGGCCCAACUAUGAGUAUAUCAUAUCAGAUUCACGUUAUGAUUCUUAAUAAAAAAAAGCCCACCUACUUACCAACAAUUU
Molecule: non-coding RNA, 1708 nt
Organism: Camelina sativa (false flax)
Lineage: Eukaryota; Viridiplantae; Streptophyta; Magnoliopsida; Brassicales; Brassicaceae
Source: RefSeq, a predicted model, not a curated record